CACAGAAGGAGUUGAGUGAUGGUAGAUAUCAGGCCCUGGUCUGCGGCUUGGAAGUUUCCUGUGAAUAAGAAAAACAUCAUCGCUUCUUGAGUCACAAGGAUGAUAGGAUGAGAAAAAGAAAGGACAAAGGCACCAGAGGAGGAACCAGACACUGGAACAUGUCGUCUGAUGUACAUCACACCAAGAAAUAAAAAAAGAAUUGGAAAGCCAAUGUCCAAUUAUUUACUAAAACAGAAUCCACUGGAGAGAAAUGCAAAGGCAGGUAAAAAGGCAAUCUCUUAACAUGAAAACUCACAACUGUAAAAUGAGAACCUAAACUAUACAGCGACAAACUCAGGAAAAAGUCUCCAGCUACUGCUGUCUCUCAGACUCUCACAGUAUGUGUAACCACUUCCUCCUCUGCACGGAAUCACCCCAGAAGAUCAACUCUACUAGAUCAUUUGAGGACAAUGAACAAAGUCUCAAGACUGAAUUCCCACAGAAAACAUUCUCAUGAAACCACCCAAUAUUCUGGUGAAGUUAAAGAAGGGCAUGUGUUCGGAGACAACCAGAAGCAGCAAUGCUCAAAACCACAAAACUCUGGAUUGCCGACUCUGCACAUCCUGGUUCCUCUAGAUACAGUUCAGUGGCACAUUCACAAAUAAACGUUUUCAAAAACUGCCCUCAGGCAGUUCUAGAGAAAUGCUUUGACUUGCCUAAUGGUAUAAUGUCAAGAAAGGAAGACGAGCACUGAUCAUUCAUACUCAUUAUUACAGUCACAGGGCACUGUCUGACUUGACAGAUACAGCCGAGCAGUUAAAAGGUUAUGGGAAUUUAAGUCCAUUAUGGUCAUACGAUUCUUAUGGACCCAGAGAUAUGAAAUUAAUCAGCCACAUGUGUAGGGACAAAGUUUGUCAUAAAUAGAUAUAAGUUAUCUGCAUGCUAAGAACUUAGUUACUUAACUCUGUUUCCUCAUGUUAAUAUAAACAUAAUUAUAGAAUGCAAAUGAAAUACUUAGCCUGGAGCCUAUUAUAUAGGAAGCACUCAAUAAUUUCAAACUAUUGAGUAUAUUAUUAGAUAGGCUCCAUAAUUAUUUAUUCCUUUUUCAACAGACAGUAUGAUCUAUUGAAAAUAAAGCCAAACUAGAUUUCUUUGACCCACUCCUUUUUCUGUUUGUAUUGUUGGCAAGUUGUUCUAAAUCAACUUGCCAACAUACUAUUAACAUGUUAUUAACAUAGAAGGGAUGCUUAUUUUGUUUGCUUUGUAAGAAAUGCUUCUGAUUCAGUAACUGGGCAAUUUAUUUAAAUAUAAGUAAAAAGCAGAUUUUAUUAAAAACUACUUUGUGCUAUCAUAAAUAA
RNAcentral lists this long non-coding RNA (1337 nucleotides) under Homo sapiens (human). RNAcentral's name for it is "PREDICTED lncRNA (TCONS_00153392)". The record is from RNAcentral. Lineage: Eukaryota; Metazoa; Chordata; Mammalia; Primates; Hominidae.